Molecule: long non-coding RNA, 375 nt
Organism: Falco peregrinus (peregrine falcon)
Lineage: Eukaryota; Metazoa; Chordata; Aves; Falconiformes; Falconidae
Exons: 4
Source: RefSeq, a predicted model, not a curated record
CAGGGCUUUUCUUCAGGAGGCAGCCAGUAUGGUGGACAGGGUGGAUGUGUGUGCCCUGGUGGAAGUUCAGGCUCUUUUGGAGGAAACCGCUACCAAGGUGGACAGGGUUCAUUGUAUUCUGGAAGUAGUCAGUAUGGUGGACAGGCAAGCACCUUUUUUUUUUUUUCCUAAGCUCUUCUUCCUACUUGAUAUUUAUUAAAUGAAAAAUACGAUGCAGUACAUAUACUGCCAGUCGGGUUUUCAGUCAUUUUACACUCAAUAAAUAUCUGAAAAUAGGAACCAUUUCUCAGUAGCUGUAAUGAAGUAGUAUGAACAAACUUCAAUUGACAGAAGCUGCAUAGAUCAUGAUUUCAGUUGUUUUACCCAAGAAUGCCU